ACACUACUGAAGAGUCUCACAAUAGGACGAAACAGCCGUCCACUGU
Molecule: non-coding RNA, 46 nt
Filed under: Schistosoma margrebowiei
Lineage: Eukaryota; Metazoa; Platyhelminthes; Trematoda; Strigeidida; Schistosomatidae
Source: RNAcentral